This 423-nucleotide ribosomal RNA is filed under the name uncultured bacterium. Its description in RNAcentral is "partial 16S ribosomal RNA". It matches the Rfam family "Bacterial small subunit ribosomal RNA", at positions 360 to 774 of the family's 1533-position model. The record is from RNAcentral.
AAUAUUGGACAAUGGGGGGAACCCUGAUCCAGCCAUGCCGCGUGUGUGAAGAAGGCCCUUUGGUUGUAAAGCACUUUAAGCGAGGAGGAGGCUACUUAGUUUAAUACUCUAGGAGAGUGGACGUUACCCGCAGAAUAAGCACCGGCUAACUCUGUUCCAGCAGCCGCGGUAAUACAGAGGGUGCAAGCGUUAAUCGGAUUUACUGGGCGUAAAGCGCGCGUAGGUGGACAAUUAAGUCAAAUGUGAAACCCCCGAGCUUAACUUGGAAAUUGAAUUCGAUACUGGUUGGCUAGGGUAUGGGAGAGGAUGGGAGAAUUCCAGGUGUAGCGGUGAAAUGCGUAGAGAUCUGGAGGAAUACCAAUGGCGAAGGCAGCCAUCUGGCCUAAUACUGACACUGAGGUGCGAAAGCAUGGGGAGCAAACA